GUGAGGAAUAUUGGUCAAUGGGCGAGAGCCUGAACCAGCCAAGUCGCGUGAAGGAAGAAGGAUCUAUGGUUCGUAAACUUCUUUUGCAGGGGAAUAAAGUGCAGGACGUGUCCUGUUUUGUAUGUACCCUGAGAAUAAGGAUCGGCUAACUCCGUGCCAGCAGCCGCGGUAAUACGGAGGAUCCGAGCGUUAUCCGGAUUUAUUGGGUUUAAAGGGUGCGUAGGUGGUUUGAUAAGUCAGCGGUGAAAGUUUGCAGCUUAACUGUAAAAUUGCCGUUGAAACUGUCGAUCUUGAGUGCAAAUGAGGUAAGCGGAAUGUGUUGUGUAGCGGUGAAAUGCUUAGAUAUAACACAGAACACCGAUUGCGAAGGCAGCUUACUGGGAUGCAACUGACGCUCAUGCACGAAAGCGUGGGGAUCAAACAGGAUUAGAUACCCGUGUAGUCC
RNAcentral lists this ribosomal RNA (445 nucleotides) under uncultured bacterium. Its description in RNAcentral is "partial 16S ribosomal RNA". It matches the Rfam family "Bacterial small subunit ribosomal RNA", at positions 354 to 796 of the family's 1533-position model. The record is from RNAcentral.